CAAUAGCGUAUAUUUAAGUUGUUGCAGUUAAAAAGCUCGUAGUUGGAUUUCGGGUGGGACGCAGCGGUCUCGCAUUGCGUUUGUACUGCUGCAGCCCUCCUUCUUGCCGGGGGCGGCCUCUCGGACUUCACUGUCUGGGGGUCAGGAUCGGCGAUGUUACUUUGAGUAAAUUAGAGUGUUCAAAGCAAGCUUACGCUCUGAAUAUAAUAGCAUGGGAUAACACGACAGGACUCUGGCCUAUCGUGUUGGUCUAUAGGACCAGAGUAAUGAUUAAGAGGGACAGUCGGGGGCAUUCGUAUUCCGUUGUCAGAGGUGAAAUUCUUGGAUUUACGGAAGACGAACAUCUGCGAAAGCAUUUGCCAAGGAUGUUUUCAUUGA
Molecule: ribosomal RNA, 378 nt
Filed under: uncultured eukaryote
Lineage: Eukaryota
Description: partial 18S ribosomal RNA
Rfam family: Eukaryotic small subunit ribosomal RNA
Source: RNAcentral